RNAcentral lists this ribosomal RNA (497 nucleotides) under uncultured bacterium. RNAcentral describes it as "partial 16S ribosomal RNA". It matches the Rfam family "Bacterial small subunit ribosomal RNA", at positions 28 to 507 of the family's 1533-position model. The record is from RNAcentral.
GAUGAACGCUGGCGGCGUGCCUAAUACAUGCAAGUCGAGCGAACGGACGAGAAGCUUGCUUCUCUGAUGUUAGCGGCGGACGGGUGAGUAACACGUGGAUAACCUACCUAUAAGACUGGGAUAACUUCGGGAAACCGGAGCUAAUACCGGAUGAUAUUUUGAACCGCAUGGUUCAAAAGUGAAAGACGGUAUUGCUGUCACUUAUAGAUGGAUCCGCGCUGCAUUAGCUAGUUGGUAAGGUAACGGCUUACCAAGGCAACGAUGCAUAGCCGACCUGAGAGGGUGAUCGGCCACACUGGAACUGAGACACGGUCCAGACUCCUACGGGAGGCAGCAGUAGGGAAUCUUCCGCAAUGGGCGAAAGCCUGACGGAGCAACGCCGCGUGAGUGAUGAAGGUCUUCGGAUCGUAAAACUCUGUUAUUAGGGAAGAACAUAUGUGUAAGUAACCGUGCACAUCUUGACGGUACCUAAUCAGAAAGCCACGGCUAACUACGUG